AUUGAACGCUGGCGGCAGGCCUAACACAUGCAAGUCGAGCGGUAGCACAGAGAGCUUGCUCUCGGGUGACGAGCGGCGGACGGGUGAGUAAUGUCUGGGAAACUGCCUGAUGGAGGGGGAUAACUACUGGAAACGGUAGCUAAUACCGCAUAACGUCGCAAGACCAAAGUGGGGGACCUUCGGGCCUCAUGCCAUCAGAUGUGCCCAGAUGGGAUUAGCUAGUAGGUGGGGUAAUGGCUCACCUAGGCGACGAUCCCUAGCUGGUCUGAGAGGAUGACCAGCCACACUGGAACUGAGACACGGUCCAGACUCCUACGGGAGGCAGCAGUGGGGAAUAUUGCACAAUGGGCGCAAGCCUGAUGCAGCCAUGCCGCGUGUGUGAAGAAGGCCUUCGGGUUGUAAAGCACUUUCAGCGGGGAGGAAGGCGUUAAGGUUAAUAACCUUGGCGAUUGACGUUACCCGCAGAAGAAGCACCGGCUAACUCCGUGCCAGCAGCCGCGGUAAUACGGAGGGUGCAAGCGUUAAUCGGAAUUACUGGGCGUAAAGCGCACGCAGGCGGUCUGUCAAGUCGGAUGUGAAAUCCCCGGGGCUCAACCUGGGAACUGCAUUCGAAACUGGCAGGCUAGAGUCUUGUAGAGGGGGGUAGAAUUCCAGGUGUAGCGGUGAAAUGCGUAGAGAUCUGGAGGAAUACCGGUGGCGAAGGCGGCCCCCUGGACAAAGACUGACGCUCAGGUGCGAAAGCGUGGGGAGCAAACAGGAUUAGAUACCCUGGUAGUCCACGCCGUAAACGAUGUCGAUUUGGAGGUUGUGCCCUUGAGGCGUGGCUUCCGGAGCUAACGCGUUAAAUCGACCGCCUGGGGAGUACGGCCGCAAGGUUAAAACUCAAAUGAAUUGACGGGGGCCCGCACAAGCGGUGGAGCAUGUGGUUUAAUUCGAUGCAACGCGAAGAACCUUACCUGGUCUUGACAUCCACAGAACUUAGCAGAGAUGCUUUGGUGCCUUCGGGAACUGUGAGACAGGUGCUGCAUGGCUGUCGUCAGCUCGUGUUGUGAAAUGUUGGGUUAAGUCCCGCAACGAGCGCAACCCUUAUCCUUUGUUGCCAGCGGUUAGGCCGGGAACUCAAAGGAGACUGCCAGUGAUAAACUGGAGGAAGGUGGGGAUGACGUCAAGUCAUCAUGGCCCUUACGACCAGGGCUACACACGUGCUACAAUGGCAUAUACAAAGAGAAGCGACCUCGCGAGAGCAAGCGGACCUCAUAAAGUAUGUCGUAGUCCGGAUUGGAGUCUGCAACUCGACUCCAUGAAGUCGGAAUCGCUAGUAAUCGUAGAUCAGAAUGCUACGGUGAAUACGUUCCCGGGCCU
Molecule: ribosomal RNA, 1362 nt
Filed under: uncultured bacterium
Lineage: Bacteria
Description: bacterial SSU rRNA
Rfam family: Bacterial small subunit ribosomal RNA
Source: RNAcentral